AGGUUAUGAUGUGGACAAUUCCUUAGCAAGUCAUUCAAACGCUCCCACACUUCAUGUAGGGGUUCUUUAUCUCUUUGGGAAAACUCACGAAUUAAAGUUCUCAUUGA
Small nucleolar RNA from Cornus florida, 107 nucleotides. The record is from RefSeq and is a predicted model, not a curated record. Lineage: Eukaryota; Viridiplantae; Streptophyta; Magnoliopsida; Cornales; Cornaceae.